This 71-nucleotide transfer RNA is filed under the name Loxodonta africana (African savanna elephant). It matches the Rfam family "tRNA". From Rfam's summary of the family: Transfer RNA (tRNA) molecules are approximately 80 nucleotides in length. The record is from Rfam by way of RNAcentral. Lineage: Eukaryota; Metazoa; Chordata; Mammalia; Proboscidea; Elephantidae.
GCAUUGGUGGUUCAGUGGUAGAAUUCUCAUCUUCCAUGCUGGAGACCCCGGUUCAAUUCCUGGCCGAUGCA